Pyrus x bretschneideri (Chinese white pear) is the source of this 823-nucleotide RNA transcript. RefSeq lists it as uncharacterized. The transcript is spliced from 5 exons. NCBI's taxonomy places the organism in Eukaryota, Viridiplantae, Streptophyta, Magnoliopsida, Rosales, Rosaceae. The record is from RefSeq and is a predicted model, not a curated record.
UUCACAAUCUCACUGCUUCAAUUCAAGGACGACGAAAAGAAGAGGCACGUUAGAAUUUGAUUCGAUCGUCGUCCCAAAUUCAACCGAACUCCCAGAAGCAGAAGGAAUAGAACGCAAAUGGCAAAUCAUAAUUUUUCAUCUUCUUCCCUGCUCAGAAUUCUAAUUCUUCUACUAGUAUUCUUGCUCUUCUCUCCCAUCAAUACAAAUGCCAAGUCUCGUCGCCCAAUCUCUGAUAUUGAGACCAGGCAGAAGAAGAGCCAGUGUUAUGCUGACAUUGAGAGCGGAUUGUGGGGCUGGCAAUGCAAGUCUUCUUUGAUAGCAAAACAAAAUUGUGCUUUGCGAUGCCUUGCUCCAGCUUGCUAUGAGCUUAUCUACUGAGAGCGAUCCGCUUGAAGAAGGUGAAAAAGAUAUGUUUAGGGGGCAAGAGUUCAAGUACUGUAUGCAUAAGUUAUCUUUGGGGGAGAGCCUCGAGGGUAUUAAGGGUUCAUUUAAUUAUUAAAUAGAUGGCAAUGUUGCUUGUAGAAUAAGUUCAUAUGAAGCCAUGGAUUUCUUCUUCACUGGAAAAAGAAGAGAGAAGGUAAAACAGAAGUCGGACUUCAUUUUCGAGUCAUCUCUUGGUUGUCUCCCCUUGCAUCUAGUGCCAUCUUCUGCAAGUUGAGCUGCAAACCAGGUUCAGGAUGUCCAGAAGGCUCAUGUUCUCUUUCAUCGACGUGGAAAUUAUCUGUAAGAUUUCGAGUUUACCAAAUGAGAUGAGAAUGUUUUUCUUUAACUUGCUUGAUAGUACUGUAAGUUGAACCAGCAUCAAUUAGUGUACCAUCAUCAA